GACGAACGCUGGCGGGGGGAGGAACAAAGGCAAGUCGAACGGAAAGGCCCUGCUUUUGUGGGGUGCUCGAGUGGCGAACGGGUGAGUAACACGUGAGUAACCUGCCCUUGACUUUGGGAUAACUUCAGGAAACUGGGGCUAAUACCGGAUAGGAGCUCCUGCUGCAUGGUGGGGGUUGGACCGUUUCGGCGGUUGGGGAUGGACUCGCGGCUUAUCAGCUUGUUGGUGGGGUAGUGGCUUACCAAGGCUUUGACGGGGCGCCGGCCUGAGAGGGUGACCGGCCACAUUGGGACUGAGAUACGGCCCAGACUCCUACGGGAGGCAGCAGUGGGGAAUAUUGCACAAUGGGCGGAAGCCUGAUGCAGCAACGCCGCGUGCGGGAUGCCGGCCUUCGGGUUGUAAACCGCUUUCGCCUGUGACGAAGCGUGAGUGACGGUAAUGGGUAAAGAAGCACCGGCUCCCUACGUU
Molecule: ribosomal RNA, 468 nt
Filed under: uncultured bacterium
Lineage: Bacteria
Description: partial 16S ribosomal RNA
Rfam family: Bacterial small subunit ribosomal RNA
Source: RNAcentral